Danio rerio (zebrafish) is the source of this 115-nucleotide ribosomal RNA. The record is from Ensembl. NCBI's taxonomy places the organism in Eukaryota, Metazoa, Chordata, Actinopteri, Cypriniformes, Danionidae.
GCCGGCAGCUAGCUCUCUGCAACUCGCACAUGGUCGCCCUCUGAAGCAAAGCAGGGCUGCGCCCGGUGAGUACUUGGAUGGGAGAUCACAUGGGAAAGCUAGCUGGCUGCCGGAA